RNAcentral lists this ribosomal RNA (263 nucleotides) under uncultured bacterium. Its description in RNAcentral is "partial 16S ribosomal RNA". It matches the Rfam family "Bacterial small subunit ribosomal RNA", at positions 793 to 1055 of the family's 1533-position model. The record is from RNAcentral.
GUCCACGCCGUAAACGAUGGGUGCUAGGUGUGGGAGGUGUCGACUCCUUCCGUGCCGUAGCUAACGCAUUAAGCACCCCGCCUGGGGAGUACGGCCGCAAGGCUAAAACUCAAAGGAAUUGACGGGGCCCCGCACAAGCAGCGGAGCAUGUGGUUUAAUUCGAUGCAACGCGAAGAACCUUACCAGGGCUUGACAUGCACUGGAAAUCCGUAGAAAUACGGCCCUCCUUCGGGACCAGUGCACAGGUGGUGCAUGGCUGUCGU